RNAcentral lists this ribosomal RNA (708 nucleotides) under Coris dorsomacula (pale-barred coris). Its description in RNAcentral is "partial 12S ribosomal RNA". The stretch from base 1 to 474 matches the Rfam family "Bacterial small subunit ribosomal RNA", at positions 866 to 1533 of the family's 1533-position model. The record is from RNAcentral. Lineage: Eukaryota; Metazoa; Chordata; Actinopteri; Labriformes; Labridae.
UAUCCGCCUGGGGACUACGAGCAUCAGCUUAAAACCCAAAGGACUUGGCGGUGCUUUAGAUCCACCUAGAGGAGCCUGUUCUAGAACCGAUAAUCCCCGUUAAACCUCACCUUUCCUUGUCUUAUCCGCCUAUAUACCGCCGUCGUCAGCUUACUCUGUGAAGAACAAGCAGUAAGCACAAUUGGUACAACCCAAAACGCCAGGUCGAGGUGUAGCGUAUGGAAAGGGAAGAAAUGGGCUACAUUCAAUAAUUAUAAUGAAUACGAAUGAUACACUGAAAAAAUAUCUGAAGGAGGAUUUAGUAGUAAGCAGAGAAUAGAGUGCUCUCCUGAAUUUGGCCCUGAAGCGCGUACACACCGCCCGUCACUCUCCCCGAGCUAAAAUUUAUAUAUUACUAAUCAACCAUAACUGCAAAGGGGAGGCAAGUCGUAACAUGGUAAGCGUACCGGAAGGUGCGCUUGGAAAAACCUCAGAGCAUAGUUAAACCGCAUAACGCUUCCCCUACACUGAAGUAUUACUCGUGAAAAUCGGGUGGCUCUGAAGCCCUAUAGCUAGCCUAACCCCCUAAAACCAACAGACCAAUAUUUAAUGUACCCUAAUGCAUUAAGCAACAUAAAACAAACCAUUUUUCCCUCUUAGUAUGGGAGACAGAAAAGAGACUGUAGCGCAAUAGACAAAGUACCGCAAGGGAAAGCUGAAAGAGAAAUG